AGGUGGGUGUGGACCUGUGGGUGGGAGGAAGGGAACCUGGCUAAAGUGGAACCACCUGGACUAGGAAGAGCGCGUGCCCUGAAGAGACUAAGUCUGUUUCCUCAUUUAAAAAAGGAGUGAAAAUCACUUGGUGAUCCAUUAGGUCUUUUCAGCUGUGACAUCCAGUGUUUUCUCUUCAAGCCUUUUAUUUAAAAAUGUCUGUAGACUAACAAAAAGUUACAAAAAUAGUGCAGAGGUCCUGUGACCCAUUCGUCAACGCCCCCAGUGCAACAUCUUAUGUGACUAGUCACUGCAGGACUGCAUCACGGGGACCGGGCAUUUGACAGUGGCAGAGAACAGCUAGCUCGGCUGCAAAGCUCACGUGGUGCUCACAUUUUUGCACACGCUUGUUUUUUGUAUGUGAGUGCACCAUCAUGAGAAUGCUUCAGCGAGCCCUUUUGAGCACUCUGGAAAGAAGUGGGAAGACGGAAAGAAUGCAUCGUGUGGUUUGGAGCAAGUGCUGGCAGCCGAGGGCCUGGGCUGUCUGACUACACUGCUUCUCAGUGACGUGAGUGUGGACAGAUCGAUGGACCUCCAGGUUGUGACCCAUAAGGCAGGGGCAGUACAUUGUCGUAGGGAUUAGAUGACACAGUCGGUGUGGGCUUCUCAGCCCUGGUCUGAUGCAUAGUGGGCAUUUGGUGAAGGGUGUAGCUGUUGCUUUUCUGGUGCCAGGUGGAGCUCUGGCUGGAUUCCAAGCAUGUGGCAAGGGCGACCAGGCACACACCUGCAGCUGUCUUCAUCCACGACCUGCCCUUCCUCCUACCUAAACCCAGCUCCGGUUUCAGAGCCCACCUUUUCCUUCCUCCUCAGAGACCUCUCUCCCUUCCCGCUGGUCUGUGCCCUCUGCCUCAGUCUCCCAAACAGCUAAUGUUUUCCUUUAGAGAUGUUCUGAAGCACAAUGUUGACAAGCCUAGACUCUGGGGCCACACUGUCUGGGUGUCCCUCCUCUGCCCCUUACCUCCUGUGCGAUCCUAGGCAAGUUCCUUAGUUCUCUGCCUCAGUUUCCUCAUCUGAGAGAAUAAAGAGCCCGCUUUAUACGGUGGCUGUAAAGACCAAAUGAUACUCUCUGUGUAAAGUGCUAAGAACAGUCCCUGGCACACAGCACACUCUAUGUAAGUGUUGGCCAGUGUUAUUUCAUAGCCUGACAUCUUGAGGGGUUGCCAGAUAGGCUAGCUUCACUUCUCUACUUCCUCACACAGCUAAAAAAAGCCAAAACCGUCUAUUCUAGAACAGUUUAAGCACAUGAAACUAGAGAAUUGUGUGAUGAACCCCAAACUAGUUUUACUUAACCAACACACACACCACACACACACUUUUAAAGUAUGUCAGGUCAGAGGCCGUUUUCACCUAUCAGCACUUCAGUAUGCGUCACUAACUAGUGAGGACCUUAUUAAAUGAAACAGUCACCAACCAUGCCAUCACAACAAGGUUAAUAAGAACCCCUUCCUGUCCUCCGACACCCAGUUCACAGUCACGUCUCCCUGAUUGCCUUAAAAGGUCUUUUUCACAGUUGAUUUAUUUUGAUCAGUAUCUAAACAGAAUCCACACAUGACACUUGGUUGCUAUGUCUGUUAAAACUCUUUUAUUUAUAGGGUCUGCCUUCCCCACACCAGUCUCUUUCUUAACCCACUAAUUUGUUGGAGACCCUGGGGCCCUUGCUCAUGGUGGCCGGCAUCCCAGAUGUGGUGAAAGUGUCCUCAGGUGCCGUUGGACUCAGCACACCUUCGCUGUGACUGCAAAUCUCCGGGGGUUCUUGUUGAGCUCACGCCCUGAUCUGGAGCUAUGCAGGCCAUACCUUGGAGACAUUGCGGGAUCAGAUCCAGACCACCAAUAAAGCAAACAUUGCAGUAAACCAAGUCACACAAAUGUUUUUGUUUCCCAGUGCAUAUAAAAGUUAUAUUGACACUA
Long non-coding RNA from Gorilla gorilla gorilla (western lowland gorilla), 1947 nucleotides. RefSeq lists it as uncharacterized. NCBI's taxonomy places the organism in Eukaryota, Metazoa, Chordata, Mammalia, Primates, Hominidae. The transcript is spliced from 2 exons. The record is from RefSeq and is a predicted model, not a curated record.